UUUUUUCCCGCUGCUGGCAGCAGUGCUUGCUAAAUACUAGCAGCAUGAACCAAGAAGGUUUCAGUGCGUGUGACCUUGCUGUGGAGGCUGGUGGCUGCUGUGCUUCCAUGUAGUGCGUAGGUGUUCGGGGUAAUGAAUGCAGUGACACGGUUCCCCUACAGAUACGUGUUUAGCGUGCCUAGAAGUACUUGUUAUUUAUGACUCGUCACGUUUUUGUGCUGUAAGUGGCUACCUGUGGCAAUGGAGCUGAAUGGGGCUCCUACUAAGAGGAAAAGCCUGCCUCUGCCGGUGGGUAGCUGGCUCCUUCCCACAUGUCUCCUCUGUGCCUACGGGUUCUUCGCUAAUCUGAGACCGUCUGAGCCUUUUCUCACGCCUUAUCUACUGGGGCCGGACAAGAACCUCACGGAGAGGCAGGUGUUUAACGAAAUAUACCCUGUUUGGACAUAUUCUUACCUGGCGUUGCUGUUUCCUAUAUUCCUUGCAACAGACUAUCUGCGAUACAAGCCAGUCAUUGUUUUGCAAGGUGUUAGUCUGAUAAUCACAUGGUUUAUGCUACUGUAUGCUCAAGGUACCCUGGCUCUUCAAUUCCUUGAAUUCUUCUAUGGAAUUGCAACUGCAACAGAAGUGGCUUACUACUCUUACAUCUACAGCAUGGUGGAGCCUAGCUUGUACCAAAAAGUUACCAGUUACUGCCGCACUGCCACGUUAACUGGUUUCACUGUUGGUUCUGUCAUUGGCCAGAUUCUGGUUUCAUUGGCAAACUGGUCUUUGUUCUCAUUGAAUGUCAUUUCUUUAACAUGCGUUUCCAUUGCUUUUGCAACUGCUUGUUUUUUACCAAUGCCAGCCAAAAGUCUUUUUUUCCACCAAAACUUGCUUUAUCCUGGAGAUAAGGAAAUGUAUAUAUCGGACAAGUUACAAAUGGACAGUAAUACAUAUGCCUUGGCAAAUGGCACUGAGGCUGAAGAGAUUGAAUCUCGAAUUGCAUUAAAUUCUGAAAACAGAUCGGAAUCAGAUGUAAAAAACUGUUCCACAAAGAAUAGUAACGGUUUACAAAGUGUUCUGAAGACCCUUUGGAAGUAUUUCUUACACUGUUACUCGUCACGCACACUUGUAUGCUGGUCAGCAUGGUGGGCUUUAUCGACUUGCGGCUACUGUCAAGUGGUAAAUUACGCUCAGGGUCUCUGGGAACAAGUUGCUCCAUCCUCCCAUUCUGAUAUAUAUAAUGGCAGUGUGGAAGCUGCUUCUACCCUCCUAGGAGCUGUUGCUGUGUUUACUGUUGGAUACAUAAAAACGUCAUGGUCUACAUGGGGAGAAUUACUUCUUGCUUUAUUUUCAGUAGUCCUUGCUAUUACGGUAUACAUUAUGGACACCAUUAGAAAUAUUUGGGUCUGUUAUGUGUCGUAUGUUUUCUUCAGAAGUAUCUAUAUGCUUCUAAUCACAAUAGCAACGUUUCAGAUUGCGGCAAAUCUGAGUAUGGAGUGCUAUGCACUUGUUUUUGGCGUAAAUACAUUUAUUGCCUUGGUUUUGCAAACCCUUUUGACCUUAAUAGUGGUGGAUUCGGUUGGCCUUGGCUUGGAUAUAUUUACACAAUUUAAAAUUUAUGGUGGAUACUUUGCUGCCAUAUCAUUCAUCUUUUUUAUGAGUGGACUUUACCAUGUAAUGAAAACAUGCAGAAGGAAGCCAAUUACUCUGGCAUCAUCAGAUCCUUGAAGAGAUCUGGUGGUAGAUGACUGGAACUUAUAUCAGUAUUUAUUUUGCUGCUUAAACAAUUAUUUGGUCAAUAUUAAACACAAUAUAUGUGCCUUUUAUUUA
Molecule: RNA transcript, 1812 nt
Organism: Xenopus laevis (African clawed frog)
Lineage: Eukaryota; Metazoa; Chordata; Amphibia; Anura; Pipidae
Gene: slc19a2.L
Gene name: solute carrier family 19 member 2 L homeolog
Exons: 6
Source: RefSeq, a predicted model, not a curated record